AAAACACAGUUCAUUUAUUUUCUGUAAUACACACUUAAAUCCAAAUGACAUUCUUAAAACAUAUUUAAAACUCACCGAGAAUCUCUAUCUUAAACAUUUCCCAAAGACAAACUGUUUACAAUGCACUAAUCAUUUCUCAAACAUAAAGGAUUAAGGAUUUUCACAACACAGGUACAAUCCCUAUAAACUAAAAAGACAUUCCAAAGAUGCAGACAAGCAAGUUGUAAGUCGCAAAAACCAAAGAUGGAGGAAUGGAUUCUAGUUCUUCCGAGCUUCUUGAUGUUACUUAUCCCAUUCCCAAUAAGCCUGACUGUUGUCUACAAAUUAUGCCCUUCCAGCCACUUGAGUGACUUCAGAAGGAUGAUGUUUCCUCAGACAUCCUUUAAACACAAACACUCUAAAAGCAUUUCGGGGGACAUAAAUCUAAGCUAGUUACCAUUAAUGCUGUCAAGCUAACUUCUGAAUACAUAAAACUCUUCCAACCAUAAACACAUCACUUACUGAUAAGCCAAAAUAUAUUAUCCAUCUGGUUCUGCAAGCUACUUUGAACUAAGCAGCUUAAUAGUCAGCUUGUCUAUUUGAAACAACCCAUUGUUUUAUAGUCUACUUUUAAGUAGUAAUAAAGCAGGUCCAAUGAUUCUUUACAGACAGAACUGCAUUGUCAAAAUAUAGAGCCUAUUUGCAAAGCUGUUCUAUAUAGUGUUUUGUAUUCACAUUUUUUUGUAAUUUAUUUUUUUAUUGAAGUUCAUCAUCAAACAUUUCCAUAAGAUGUGUUUCAGACAUUGUACCGAGAUAUCAUAUAAUUAUACAUAUCACAAAUCUCCACAAAGUAUUUAUCUAAAGUACACACUUAUAGAAAAGAGUGGAGAGAAAAAACAAGCAAAAGGGAAGAACUAUGUACAAGUAGGGAGUGAUCUUUUGUUUUUACAAUAGAUUCAUUGAUUUGUGAGAAUAAUUUCAGGCCUAUGAGGCAUUAUUUAGUUAAACCAUUUUUCCCAGUAUGAAUCAAAUUGUUCCAAAUUGGAUAAAAUUCUCUAACGUUUGAUUGGAUUUAAUAGCCCAUUGACAUUAAAAGAAAUGAAUUUUACCUUGUCCUUAGCCAUCUGUAUGUAUCUGUCAAUGUACCAUUGAAAUUAGAAUAAAACUUAAUCGAUCUACUCCCUGAACAAAUACGAACCAAGAAACACAGAUAAUAACAAAAAUGGCAACGAACGUGUGAUUCCAAGGCUGAGGUCACUAGUAGAUGACCCUGCGUUGAGCUAGAGGAAAUGUCUAGCUGUGGGGGAUAACCCCUCCUACUUGUGUGAGUUGAGGGCCUCCAUUGCAGUAUUCAUAAAAGUCAGUGAACAAAUCCAUUACAUAGAAAAGAUUUCCCUGUGUACUCCUCCUAUAUAUAUAUAUAUUUAUAUAUAUAUAUAUAUAUAUUCUCAUUUUGGUGGGGAAAAAGGAGUAAGUGAGCGAAUAAAGAAUAACAACUAAGUAAUAUAAAAUCCACAUUAUAAUAAGUAUUUCUCGAGAUAGGUAUAUCACCAUGUACUUUUGCUUUCAUUUAGCUUCUCAACAUUUUUAAAGUUAGCUAAACCUUAUGGCUCUUCUGAAGGGGGUGAGGACCGUCUUUGGGAAACUCCUGGUCUCUUCCUGAUAUAUUUCACUCGGCCUCCUCCCGUCCCCUGCCUUCUCGAUUCUCCCACUAUUUCCCAAGCGGAGCGGAACAGUUCCUCAGUCAGGCUUUCCCUCAUUUUGGUGACACUGACGGGCAACCCUCUGGCCUUCAUGUCUGUAGUCGCCUCUUCCACCGUCUGGUACAACUGUGUCCCGUUGUCAUAAAACACUCGAAGUUUAGCAGGGCCCUUUGUAGAAUCUGCGUCUUGGUGCUGUACCGAAGGAAUUUAACUAUUAUAGAGCGUGGUUUUCUGUCCUGGGCAGGUUUUGGAACCAGUCCUCUCGAUUUCCAGCUCCAUAGUUGAGGGAAGAUCCAGCGCGUUCUCGACAAACUCCGUCGUAGACGAGCCCUCCGCUCCUUCGGGAACGUUGUAGAUUCUGGUAUUUUUCUGCCGUGAUCUUCUCUCCAGAUCAAGCAGUUGACGUUCUUGGUGAUGUAUUAUUUUUAUUGUCUUGCUCAGUAUCCGUUCCACAUUUUGAACUUCUCGAUUCGAGUCUCUGCCACCGCUAUUUUUUGAUUAACACUGGUGAGCUCUGCCUUAAUAUCCUGGAGCUGCUGCUUUAUUUCUUUCUAGACCUCCAUUAUCUCUUUCAGGAUUUCAAACAUAUUCGCCGCUUCAACUGAACGAGGCCCGGCGGCCACCUCGCUAGCACGACACUGCGGAGCUUGCGUCCGAGAGGCGUGCAUUCACAUUUUUACAACUGAAGACUGACUUGCGUUUACAACCAGAAGUUAAACAAAGCAAUAUAGUUGAAAGUUUAUUUACAACUGUUUGUGACCUUUCAAAUGACAGCUGCUGUUCAGAAAGCAAGCUUAGCAAACAUGAGAUAGAAGCAAAUAUCUCAUAUCUUUCCUUUGGACACGACCUUUUUUUAUUUUAUUCAUAAAAGCUGUUUAGUUUUACUUUUAUGAGACCUUUACUCUCCCCUUGUUAAUGACAAAUAUCUUUCCCUUGUAUUGUUACUUAGUUAGAAAUGAUUAUUUAGAAUUCCAUUGGAACAUAUUUAAAACUUUCUUCACUGUUCAAGUUGGACAUUUUCCUGCUGUACAUCUGAUUUUCAGACAUUUUAAUUUUUAUGAUGGGAUUUUCAUUCUGUGCUGAUUCAAUCACUAAUAAGAUUCACAUUUGAAUUGGGUUUGUCUGCAUUGUUAUAGGAUAUAUAUUUUCAGAAAAUCAAUAUAAACUAAUUAAGUAUUGCAGUCUUUUCCAAACAACUAAAGCAUGAGGUCAUUUUCUUUGUAAAUGCCCAUCCAGUUUGGCAGACUUUUAACUCUGAGGAUCAUUAGCUACUGUCAAGUUCCAUUGUUGUCAUAACUAAAAGAGGUCAUUGGUAGCGAUCAGGGCCAAUUUCACAGUUUACUGCAGAGGGAUGGACAGAACCAAUCUGAGCUUUUCUUUCAGUCAUCUAAUACAGUUUAAUAUAAUCUAAUAAAGCAGAACAGGGGUUCCCAACCUUUUCUAUGCCAUGGACCAAUACCUUUAAUCAAGGGGUCAGUGAACACCAGGUUGUCAUUGUCCGCGCUUUGGAGGAUAAAAAUUCAAAGUUCAAAAUAAAUUUAUUAUCAAAGUACAUAUAUGUCAGCAGGAUUUAAAUAUCUCCUUAUCUGAGGAGAGCUGGGAUUCAGUUCUCAAAUCGGUUAACUCAACCUCUCUUUGUGCUCGCCACUGCCUUUUACAGUUUAAGAUUGUUCAUAGAGCCCAUUUGUCUAAAUCUAAACUAUCACGAUUCUACCCUAGUGUUAGUCCGCUCUGUGAUAAAUGCAAGAGGGGCGUGGCCUCUCUCAUCCAUAUGUACUGGUUCUGUCCUAGCUUGGAGAAAUUCUGGAAAGAUGUCUUCACUACGUUAUCGUGUAUUCUGAAUCAGCACCUAGAACCAAACCCCUUAAUUGCUCUGUUCGGUUUUUGGGGCGAGACAGAUUUAUGUCUGGGUCCGACCAAAUGCCGAAUAUUAUCCUUUGCCCCUCUCCUGGCUAGACGCUUGAUCCUCCUCAGAUGGAGAGAUGUUGCCCCGCCCACUCAUGCUCAAUGGCUUAACGACAUCAUGGCCUGUUUGGACCUCGAAAAAAUUCAUUAUUCAGUUCUCAAUUUGGAUCUAAAGUUCCAUAAGGUCUGGGGACCUUUUAUCAAGUACUUUCAUAUCCUUCCUCUUGACUAGGGUUUUUUUUUCUUUUCAGUCCCUUGCUUUCAGCUCCCUUUUUUUCUGGUAGAAGGCAUUAUUACCCUCUGUUCCUGAGUGUAUUCACAGUCUGGGAGUUUGGCUGUCCUGACUUAUACUCUCUAUAUUGUGUUGUGGUUGGUCUGGAGUUGCUGUUGUUUUUUCUUGUGUUGUGGGGCUUGGGGAGGACACUAAGCUUACUUGUCUUUAAUUCAGGUGCUUUUUUUUUGCUAAAUUCUCUUCCUUUGUAGUAUAUUGUUAUUGUAUGUUUAAUUUUGCACUGUUUUAAUGUUCCUCAUUGGGAUUUGGGGUUUUUAAUUUGUAAAAUGUUUUGAAAAACUAUUAAAAUUUUUUUUUUAAAAAGUA
This is a long non-coding RNA of Hypanus sabinus (Atlantic stingray), 4185 nucleotides long. RefSeq lists it as uncharacterized. The transcript is spliced from 2 exons. The record is from RefSeq and is a predicted model, not a curated record. NCBI's taxonomy places the organism in Eukaryota, Metazoa, Chordata, Chondrichthyes, Myliobatiformes, Dasyatidae.